Molecule: long non-coding RNA, 3606 nt
Filed under: Gallus gallus (chicken)
Lineage: Eukaryota; Metazoa; Chordata; Aves; Galliformes; Phasianidae
Description: lncRNA (ENSGALG00010011369.1)
Source: RNAcentral
AACCUUUGUCAACUCUGUAUGCGUUUUCUGACUGCCUGUGUAGUCAUCUGACAACUUGAGAAGCAGGAACAAAGCACUGGCAAGGCUGACAAAUCCUGCAGAUGCAGCAAGGAAGCAAAGAAAGCACAAAAGAAGUCUAUAAUGAUCGAAAGCCAAAGGGAAAAGGAAAGGAUCGUGGCCAAAUAGUGUCAAAUACCUGCUCCUCCCAAUAAUUUUAGUAGAGGCUCUCUUGCAAGAUCUGUCAUCAAGCAUAGAAGAUAUUGCUACACCACAAAUCCUGAUGUAUUUUCUACCUGCUUUGAAAGACACGGAGAUAUUAAACUGGAUGGACAAACCUGAAUGGCACAAAUACCAGAGGAACAGAUGGCAUGGAAGAUAAGUCCUCCCUGCCUGAACUGGGAAAGGAAAAAGAUACCCGUCUUGAGGAUCAACUCCAAGCAUGAAUUUGGAGUGACAUUCGCCAUUCAAGCAAUGGUUCCAGUGCUCUUCCUCCUUUUAAGGAUGCACUGCUCUCCUUUACUUGUAUACUAAGGCCUGACUCCCUCUCUCUUACUUUGAUAUUACCGCUGGUGACAGAACACAAGCAGUGCUGAAAUAGAGCUUGAUCUUCUAAGAUUUCUGCUCUCUGAGAUAAUCACAGACAAUUCUUGACUUUCAUCUGUGUGCUUAUCAUUUAGAAAUGAGCCAUCGGACCAUGGUAAUCAAAAUAUAGCCUUAUGGAAUUCUGCGUUACUGAGCAAUAUUUGUGUUACCUUAUUGCAAUGGUACGUGUCGGACCAGAUACCUCCACGAGCUUCUCUCUUCUUCAUUAACUGGCAAGAUCUGCUGAUCUCGUGCAACAGGACUCUCCUGCCACCACAUCACCCAGUUCCAGAAGAGGGAUAGGCUGGUCACUAAACAUCCCAUCUUUUGCUACCUUCAGAUGCCCCUUGAGCUCAAGGCAUUGCUGUGGAGGCUCCUUCUAAUAGCAACCACUUAGAAAAUGGAAAUCCGACAAGGAAACUUACCUGUUUUCUCAUAUCCUCUGGCCACAAACAGAAGGAAAAAUAAUCUUAAAGUACUAUCUUCUGAGCACAAUUCAAAUUAAAAAAAAAAUAACUAAGAAAAAAAGAGAUCUCUGCACGUGUCACUGGAAAUAUGAUGUUAUUAGAGAAGCUGACAACCUAUCCACACCAGUGCUCUCCAAUACUGUCCGAGAAGAACAGAGAGGAACAGAAAUAGCAGAGGUCCACAGAAGGGUAAUAAAAAUAACAAAGACAUUUAGCGGCCUUCCACAUGACUGCACUUGUUUCAUUUGGGAAAUCUGAAUUUAAACAGUGAGAUAGUAAAAUUGAUCCUUCCUAGCCUUCAUAUAAAAGCAACAGUGCAACUGAUGAAUUGAGAAGUAAAGCCACUUGCAGCUGAUAACACUUCUUCACGGAGUACACAAUUCACUCCUGAUAUUCUAUGACACCAGUUGAGAAGAAUGAAACAGAGAAAUUUUAAAUACCAGCAUAUUUCCUCACUGUGCUAUUCCAAAUGAAAACUAUUACAAAUGAUAAUCAGAAAGCAAGCAACAAGGCAUCUGGGCUAAGAAAAGUGUCAUCCAAAGACAGAAAAGUGGCAAAAUUACAAAAAGGAAGAAACAGUAAGGUAAAGAGAAAGAUUAAUGAAGAUCACAAUCUAUCCAGACACCUCACGCUUAGUCACAGUGCAUGCUAUAUGUCAUGUGUGUGAAGAAAAAUCUUUUACUUUUUGUAAAUUACAUCCCAGAAUUGAACACAUACAAUGAACAAACACAAAUGAAAUGCAAUGGGACGUAGCCAAGCUACUGGUACACUACUUCACCCAGUAACAGAGCAUACGACCUAUCUUUGGGCACAGAUCUUACUGGGGAGAGCUGGUUGCUGUGAUUUUCAGCAGCUUGGUCAACCAACAUGCUGGCACACUGCAUUUGGGGGGAACAUCUGAAGUACAGGUUCUUAAGUAAAUGGAUUACCAGAAUUUAUGGUAAUACAUCGGUAAUGAUUCUGAAAAACAAGCGUAUAAAUUACAGAGACUUUCUACAGACCACUAUUAAAGCUAGAAAAUCUGUUCUGUAGGAAACCCAAGAUUAAACUUUCAGCUGUCCGAGCAUUUGUUCACUGAGGUGAGCUUUAAACGAGAAAACUGCAAUUGUCCAGUCUCUAUUCGUCAAUGCAUUUCUCCUCAGAGAUCAAAUAGUCCAGAGAUUUUUCAAGACUACGCAGUAAAUAAUCAAUGUGCUUGCUUACUAUACACCUCAACUUCAUUGACUUCCAGCCCUUGCAGAAAAAAACAGCUAUUGUCAUAUUCCCCAUACAUGCUGCCAUCUGUCAAUCGUUGGCUACUGGCUAACACCGGCUUUCCAAAACUUUAUUACCCAGAGGUGCUAAUUAUCCCUAGUGGAACUAAGCAAUAUAAUAUAAAGUUUUUUACUGUUUUUAUUUGGCCAUUACUUCUCUUGAACAGAUUUUAAGCUGUGGGCAAUGCUGUUCUCUGCUGCUCUAUUCUUUUCCUGAGUUCCCACUGGCCUGGUUCUAUUGUUAGCAAAGCAAAGCCAAACCACAAUGAUCAUUGGCUAGAUCAUUUCAUAUAACAAGCCCCAGUUUACAUUUCCUAAUGGGAAACGCAUCUAAUUACCUCUAGGUUUUCUGUGUCAUGGUCUGCUACCAAAGAGUUCUAUUUUGCUCCAUUCGCCUCUUGGAAAUAAUUUAUAGAAAUCUGUUCACUGAUGUUUUGUUGCCAAAAUCAGCAUUCAUUUCCUCCAGCAUUUAAGUCCACCUGUUUGUUGUUUUGUUCUUCUUCCUUCCAAGACCCCGGCUUCUAUGAGAUUCUCAAGUUUCCAUUAUAAACCUAGGAGUAGCAAAUAGAAUCAGCAGACUCUUUACAGAUAAGAGAGCUGGAGGCAACCUGGUACUGCCAUGAGUACAAUACCACCACAGUCAGUGAAGCUCUCCACUCCAACUGAUGCACUGUUUGCUAAAACACAAAGACAUCCACCUCAGUGAAGAGGGGGCAAGCCCUCUGGAAAGGCUUUCUGAUAGCAGAUACUCUGGUGUUCAAAGCUGAACCUCUUACCUUCUGGCACAACCGGCUCUUGACAGCAGAUUUCCUAACAGAUGCCAAGCUAUUCCUAUCAGUUUAACCCCAACAGGACAUUCCUGUUACCCAUAUUAAUCUUAGUAGAUGAGAUGCUGAAGGUUCAGUAGAAAAUACCAAUUAAGCAUUGGUGAUGGGUGGAUGGUUGGACCAGGUGAUCCUGUGGAUCUUUUCCGACCUUGGUGAUUCUAUGAUUCCAUGAUUCUGUGAUCUUUUCUUUGAAGGACUAAUCUGCUGAAACUAAAGCUUCCUGCAAGAAUUGGGCUAUUUAUAGGUAUAUAAGUCUUGCUCAAAUAAAUAAAUAAAUAAAUAAAUAAAUAAAUAGCGUGAAAACAUUUUCUGAAAAUGCCACAAUACCUGUUACACAGAAGCUUCCCUGUUCCCAAACCUUAAUCAGAGUUCCCAACCACUCAGCUCAGCUUUGGUUUUGUGCCUGACAGAUCAAACUCACUGUUUUUCAUAGUUUGACCCUAAUACGCGGGGAAAGGAAAACUGCAGCUACAGAUU